RNAcentral lists this ribosomal RNA (417 nucleotides) under uncultured bacterium. Its description in RNAcentral is "bacterial SSU rRNA". It matches the Rfam family "Bacterial small subunit ribosomal RNA", at positions 357 to 772 of the family's 1533-position model. The record is from RNAcentral.
AGGAAUAUUGGUCAAUGGGCGGGAGCCUGAACCAGCCAAGUCGCGUGAGGGAUGACGGCCCUAUGGGUUGUAAACCUCUUUUGCCGGGGAGCAAAGUGCCGCACGUGUGCGGUUGGGAGGGUACCCGGAGAAAAAGCAUCGUCUAACUCCGUGCCAGCAGCCGCGGUAAUACGGAGGAUGCGAGCGUUUUCCGGAUUUAUUGGGUUUAAAGGGUGCGUAGGCGUACGCUUAAGUCAGCGGUAAAAUUGCGGGGCUCAACCUCGUCGAGCCGUUGAAACUGGGUGUCUUGAGUGGGCGAGAAGUACGCGGAAUGCGUGGUGUAGCGGUGAAAUGCAUAGAUAUCACGCAGAACCCCGAUUGCGAAGGCAGCAUACCGGCGCCCUACUGACGCUGAGGCACGAAAGUGCGGGGAUCAAA